CGACACCGCGCGGAACCGAAGCCGUUCUCAGUUCGGAUCGGAGUCUGCAACCCGACUCCGUGAAGCUGGAUUCGCUAGUAAUCGCGCAUCAGCCAUGGCGCGGUGAAUACGUUCCCGGGCCUUGUACACACCGCCCGUCAAGCCAUGGGAGCCGGGGGUGCUUGAAGUGCGUCGCCGCAAGGCGCGCCCUAGAGCAAAACCGGUGACUGGGGCUAAGUCGUAACAAGGUACC
Molecule: ribosomal RNA, 232 nt
Filed under: uncultured bacterium
Lineage: Bacteria
Description: partial 16S ribosomal RNA
Rfam family: Bacterial small subunit ribosomal RNA
Source: RNAcentral